RNAcentral lists this transfer RNA (72 nucleotides) under Candidatus Endomicrobiellum incisitermitis. RNAcentral describes it as "tRNA-Gly". It matches the Rfam family "tRNA". Rfam says of the family: Transfer RNA (tRNA) molecules are approximately 80 nucleotides in length. Their secondary structure includes four short double-helical elements and three loops (D, anti-codon, and T loops). Further hydrogen bonds mediate the characteristic L-shaped molecular structure. tRNAs have two regions of fundamental functional importance: the anti-codon, which is responsible for specific mRNA codon recognition, and the 3' end, to which the tRNAs corresponding amino acid is attached (by aminoacyl-tRNA synthetases). tRNAs cope with the degeneracy of the genetic code in two manners: having more than one tRNA (with a specific anti-codon) for a particular amino acid; and 'wobble' base-pairing, i.e. permitting non-standard base-pairing at the 3rd anti-codon position. Lineage: Bacteria; Pseudomonadati; Elusimicrobiota; Endomicrobiia; Endomicrobiales; Endomicrobiaceae. RNAcentral also lists the same sequence under 1 other name. The record is from RNAcentral.
GCGGGUGUAGUUCAGUGGUAGAACGUCUCGUUGCCAACGAGAAGGUCGUGGGUUCAACUCCCAUCGCCCGCU